RNAcentral lists this transfer RNA (77 nucleotides) under bacterium. Its description in RNAcentral is "tRNA-Arg". It matches the Rfam family "tRNA". Rfam says of the family: Transfer RNA (tRNA) molecules are approximately 80 nucleotides in length. Their secondary structure includes four short double-helical elements and three loops (D, anti-codon, and T loops). Further hydrogen bonds mediate the characteristic L-shaped molecular structure. tRNAs have two regions of fundamental functional importance: the anti-codon, which is responsible for specific mRNA codon recognition, and the 3' end, to which the tRNAs corresponding amino acid is attached (by aminoacyl-tRNA synthetases). tRNAs cope with the degeneracy of the genetic code in two manners: having more than one tRNA (with a specific anti-codon) for a particular amino acid; and 'wobble' base-pairing, i.e. permitting non-standard base-pairing at the 3rd anti-codon position. The record is from RNAcentral.
GGGCUUGUGGCGCAAUUGGACAACGCACCUGAUUCCGAAUCAGAAGAUUGCAGGUUCGAAUCCUGUCAGGCCCACCA